RNAcentral lists this small nucleolar RNA (152 nucleotides) under Lachancea fermentati. RNAcentral describes it as "Small nucleolar RNA snR161". It matches the Rfam family "Small nucleolar RNA snR161". The record is from Rfam by way of RNAcentral. Lineage: Eukaryota; Fungi; Ascomycota; Saccharomycetes; Saccharomycetales; Saccharomycetaceae.
AAAGUAAAAACCAACCAGUAUCAUUGGCUGGCCAUAUCUCUCCAACAUAUGGGCGGUCUCUCUAAGCUGGGAGAUAUACCUGAACAACUUAAGUUCUGUUGUGAACUAGAUAUUGAAUCACGUUCCAUAACACUAUUGUCGUUCAAACAACU